Molecule: long non-coding RNA, 282 nt
Organism: Saccostrea cuccullata (small rock oyster)
Lineage: Eukaryota; Metazoa; Mollusca; Bivalvia; Ostreida; Ostreidae
Exons: 3
Source: RefSeq, a predicted model, not a curated record
AUCCCAUGAGGCCAUGCAGCUUGAUCCACACAGACGCCCGCGGUCGUUCAGCGAGUCUCUCCACAUCAACGUGUUUCCCUAGCCCACCAUGCUCGUAGGGACCCCUUCUCCUACCAUGGUCUGAAACCGAAAACAAUGUUUCUUGGCGCCGUCUAUGCAGAUGCCAGUCAAAAGUAACUCCUUCACUCCCAUUCCUAGCCUAAGUCCUACCAGAAAGUCAUUUAUGAGAAGUUUGAGUCCCUUAGCUGUCAGACCUAGUCCAGUGGGGAAAAGAAAACUUGA